RNAcentral lists this ribosomal RNA (862 nucleotides) under Pseudorhizina californica. RNAcentral describes it as "Gyromitra californica partial large subunit ribosomal RNA". It matches the Rfam family "Eukaryotic large subunit ribosomal RNA", at positions 69 to 943 of the family's 3401-position model. The record is from RNAcentral. Lineage: Eukaryota; Fungi; Ascomycota; Pezizomycetes; Pezizales; Discinaceae.
CAGGGAUUGCCUCAGUAACGGCGAGUGAAGCGGCAACAGCUCAAAUUUUAAAGCUGGCGCCUUCGGCGCACGCGUUGUAAUUUGGAGAGGCAUCUUCGGUUCGGGCGCCAGCCUAUGUUCCUUGGAACAGGACGUCACAGAGGGUGAGAAUCCCGUGCCUGGCUGGCUGUCCCGACCCAUGUGAAGCGCCUUCGACGAGUCGAGUUGUUUGGGAAUGCAGCUCAAAAUGGGUGGUAAAUUUCAUCUAAAGCUAAAUAUUGGCGGGAGACCGAUAGCGCACAAGUAGAGUGAUCGAAAGAUGAAAAGCACUUUGAAAAUAGAGUUAAAAAGUACGUGAAAUUGUUGAAAGGGAAGCGCUUGAGACCAGACUCGGCUGGGGAUGAUCAGCGGCCCUUCUGGGCCGUGCACUUGUCCCCGGUCGGGCCAGCAUCGGUUGAGGCGGUGGGAUAAAGGCCCGGGGAAUGUGGCUCCUCUCGGGGAGUGUUAUAGCCCCGGACGCAAUGCCGCCAGCCUUGACCGAGGGCCGCGCACUUUGUGCUAGGAUGCUGGCGUAAUGGUCUUCAGCGACCCGUCUUGAAACACGGACCAAGGAGUCUAACAUCUAUGCGAGUGUUUGGGUGUCAAACCCUUGCGCGGAAUGAAAGUGAACGGAGGUGGGAACCCCUCGCGGGGCGCACCAUCGACCGGUCCUGAUGUCUUCGGAUGGAUCUGAGUAGGAGCAUAGCUGUUGGGACCCGAAAGAUGGUGAACUAUGCCUGAAUAGGGUGAAGCCAGAGGAAACUCUGGUGGAGGCUCGCAGCGGUUCUGACGUGCAAAUCGAUCGUCAAAUUUGGGUAUAGGGGCGAAAGACUAAUCGAACCAU